Molecule: long non-coding RNA, 300 nt
Filed under: Homo sapiens (human)
Lineage: Eukaryota; Metazoa; Chordata; Mammalia; Primates; Hominidae
Description: non-protein coding lnc-SLC19A3-3:1
Source: RNAcentral
ACUUCUCAGCUAGCACAGUGACCACCUCUUCCAUGCUGUUUGAAGUUCUGGCUGUCUUGUGGGGUCCAUUGUUACCACAGUAGAAUCCAACCAAGAAUAUUUGGAAACUACUCAUACCAGAAUCACAUGAAUCUUGUGAACAGUGAAGCUGUCUACACCUUCUAAAUCAAUCCAUACAACAACUGGGAGAGCAAAUGGAUCAUUUGAAGUGAUACAAAGUAAAGAACAACAAGCAGAAAAUGAAUCAUGUGGAUUGAGACUGCACCUGUCAGCACAUAGAGAGGAAUGAAAAGUUGAAGC